Molecule: small RNA, 128 nt
Filed under: Helianthus annuus (common sunflower)
Lineage: Eukaryota; Viridiplantae; Streptophyta; Magnoliopsida; Asterales; Asteraceae
Description: Bacterial small subunit ribosomal RNA
Rfam family: Bacterial small subunit ribosomal RNA
Source: RNAcentral
GUCAGCUUGUGCUAUAAGGUGUUGGGUUAAGUCCCACAACGAGCGGAACCCUCUUGUUUAGUUGCCAUCAGUGAGUUUGGAACCCUGAACAGACUACCGGUGAUCAGCCAGAGGAAGGUGAGGAUUUC